UUACAUUUUAAACAGAGGUCAAGUACCAGCAGUUGCUGAAAUGAAUUUUCUUGAUCGUGUGAAAUGGUUAGAUAUGUAUGGAGUUGAUCUUCACCCAGUUCUGGGAGAAGAUAAUAUUGAAUAUUUCUUAGGUUUAACACCAAGUGGUAUUAUUGUUCUUCGAAAUAAAACUAAAGUUGGAAAUUAUUUUUGGCCAAGAAUAACAAAAGUAUAUUUUAAAGGAAGAUAUUUUAUGUUGAGAGUUAGAGAUAAAAAU
Long non-coding RNA from Centruroides sculpturatus (bark scorpion), 256 nucleotides. RefSeq lists it as uncharacterized. The transcript has 3 exons. Lineage: Eukaryota; Metazoa; Arthropoda; Arachnida; Scorpiones; Buthidae. The record is from RefSeq and is a predicted model, not a curated record.